This 415-nucleotide ribosomal RNA is filed under the name Septoglomus viscosum. RNAcentral's name for it is "partial large subunit ribosomal RNA". Lineage: Eukaryota; Fungi; Glomeromycota; Glomeromycetes; Glomerales; Glomeraceae. The record is from RNAcentral.
AGAGUUAAAUAGUACGUGAAAUUGUUGAAAGGGAAACGAUUGAAGUCAGUCGUACCAACGGGAAAUCAGCCUUUUGAAGCGGGAUUUUGGUGUUUCAAAGAGUGUCAAAACCUUUGGGGUGUCAAAACUCUUCUUUUCUGGGUGUACUUUCUCGUAGGUAGGUCAACAUCGAUUUUGAACAUCAUAAAAAGACUGGAGGAAUGUAGCUUCGAUCUCGUAUUGAAGUGUUAUAGCCUUUGGUAAAUGUGAUGAUCAAGAUCGAGGAUUGCAACGAAUAUCCUUUUGGGCUAUCCGUCUGAUCUCUGAUACGUUGCCUUGGUAUUGAAAGCUUGCUUAUGAUAUUAAGGUAUUACGGUCAAAAGGUUAGAGCGGAUUACAUUCGUUAAGGAUGUUGACGUAAUGGCUUUAAACGACC